AGUGAACGCUGGCGGUAGGCCUAACACAUGCAAGUCGAACGGCAGCACAGUAAGAGCUUGCUCUUACGGGUGGCGAGUGGCGGACGGGUGAGGAAUACAUCGGAAUCUACUUUUUCGUGGGGGAUAACGUAGGGAAACUUACGCUAAUACCGCAUACGACCUACGGGUUAAAGCAGGGGAUCUUCGGACCUUGCGCGAUUGAAUGAGCCGAUGUCGGAUUAGCUAGUUGGCGGGGUAAAGGCCCACCAAGGCGACGAUCCGUAGCUGGUCUGAGAGGAUGAUCAGCCACACUGGAACUGAGACACGGUCCAGACUCCUACGGGAGGCAGCAGUGGGGAAUAUUGGACAAUGGGCGCAAGCCUGAUCCAGCCAUACCGCGUGGGUGAAGAAGGCCUUCGGGUUGUAAAGCCCUUUUGUUGGGAAAGAAAAGCAGCAGGUUAAUACCCCGCUGUUCUGACGGUACCCAAAGAACAAGCACCGGCUAACUUCGUG
This 492-nucleotide ribosomal RNA is filed under the name uncultured bacterium. RNAcentral describes it as "partial 16S ribosomal RNA". It matches the Rfam family "Bacterial small subunit ribosomal RNA", at positions 29 to 507 of the family's 1533-position model. The record is from RNAcentral.